This 254-nucleotide ribosomal RNA is filed under the name uncultured bacterium. RNAcentral describes it as "partial 16S ribosomal RNA". It matches the Rfam family "Bacterial small subunit ribosomal RNA", at positions 524 to 776 of the family's 1533-position model. The record is from RNAcentral.
UACGUAGGGCGCAAGCGUUAUCCGGAAUUAUUGGGCGUAAAGAGCUCGUAGGCGGUUUGUCGCGUCUGCCGUGAAAGUCCGGGGCUCAACUCCGGAUCUGCGGUGGGUACGGGCAGACUAGAGUGAUGUAGGGGGAGACUGGAAUUCCUGGUGUAGCGGUGAAAUGCGCAGAUAUCAGGAGGAACACCAGUGGCGAAGGCGGUGCUCUGGGCCGGUACUGACGCUGAGGAGCGAAAGCGUGGGUAGCAAACAGG